GCUGGUGGCUGGCUCCCUGAUUACCAACCAGGGGACUAGGACUAGGUAUCGGAGGGAAUAAAAAAAGAUGUCAGAGGACAGAGCCAAUGUUAACAUGGGGCCUGGGCAAUCUAACAACGGGCCCAGUGGAGCACCGGAUGCCAACUCAGAAGCCCCUGGACCUUCAAAUAAGGUCAGUCAAGCACCACCAAGAAGGAGGAGACGGCCCGCUCCCCGUCCAAUCGAGAUAUGUCUUAAAGACAUCGCCCACAUCAUCUCCCUUCUACAGACAGUCUGAAGUGGAAAAACCUUGAAGUCAGAAGCCGGAAGCCAAAAGCCAAAGCAAAUUAUCAGUGAAAACGAUGCCAUGGAUAUAGGAUAACAUCUUCAUUUGGAGCCUUUUCAAUUCCUUCAACAGUGUCAGUGGGUAGACACUUGACUUUGUAGAGAACUGACAUUAGUAUAAAGAUAAAAAGGCACAACAGGAAACCUGUAGCCUACAUUAAAAUGGGCUCCAACCUAA
Molecule: long non-coding RNA, 502 nt
Organism: Antechinus flavipes (yellow-footed antechinus)
Lineage: Eukaryota; Metazoa; Chordata; Mammalia; Dasyuromorphia; Dasyuridae
Exons: 2
Source: RefSeq, a predicted model, not a curated record